RNAcentral lists this ribosomal RNA (495 nucleotides) under uncultured bacterium. RNAcentral describes it as "partial 16S ribosomal RNA". It matches the Rfam family "Bacterial small subunit ribosomal RNA", at positions 28 to 507 of the family's 1533-position model. The record is from RNAcentral.
GACGAACGCUGGCGGCGUGCCUAAUACAUGCAAGUAGAACGCUGAAGGAGGAGCUUGCUUCUCUGGAUGAGUUGCGAACGGGUGAGUAACGCGUAGGUAACCUGCCUGGUAGCGGGGGAUAACUAUUGGAAACGAUAGCUAAUACCGCAUAAUAGUAGAUGUUGCAUGACAUUUGCUUAAAAGGUGCAAUUGCAUCACUACCAGAUGGACCUGCGUUGUAUUAGCUAGUUGGUGGGGUAACGGCUCACCAAGGCGACGAUACAUAGCCGACCUGAGAGGGGGAUCGGCCACACUGGGACUGAGACACGGCCCAGACUCCUACGGGAGGCAGCAGUAGGGAAUCUUCGGCAAUGGACGGAAGUCUGACCGAGCAACGCCGCGUGAGUGAAGAAGGUUUUCGGAUCGUAAAGCUCUGUUGUAAGAGAAGAACGAGCGUGAGAGUGGAAAGUUCACACUGUGACGGUAUCUUACCAGAAAGGGACGGCUAACUACGUG